CCCUUAGAUGUUCUGGGCCGCACGCGCGCUACACUGACGAAUGCAACGAGCUUAUAACCUUGGCCGAAAGGUCUGGGUAAUCUCCAAAUUUCGUCGUGAUGGGGAUAGAUUAUUGCAAUUAUUAAUCUUCAACGAGGAAUGCCUAGUAAGCGCAAGUCAUCAGCUUGCGUUGAUUACGUCCCUGCCCUUUGUACACACCGCCCGUCGCUCCUACCGAUUGAAUGGUCCGGUGAAGCGUUCGGACCGUGGCCUUUGGACGGUUCGCCGUCUGUUGGCUGCGGGAAGUUCGCUAAACCUUAUCAUUUAGAGGAAGGAGAAGUCGUANCA
RNAcentral lists this ribosomal RNA (327 nucleotides) under uncultured eukaryote. Its description in RNAcentral is "partial 18S ribosomal RNA". It matches the Rfam family "Eukaryotic small subunit ribosomal RNA", at positions 1470 to 1796 of the family's 1831-position model. The record is from RNAcentral.